Molecule: long non-coding RNA, 2678 nt
Organism: Sapajus apella (tufted capuchin)
Lineage: Eukaryota; Metazoa; Chordata; Mammalia; Primates; Cebidae
Exons: 4
Source: RefSeq, a predicted model, not a curated record
ACUGUUAUGUCUCCCAGUACCACCCUGGAUACACACACACACACACACAGACACACGCACACACAGAGCAUAGUCAAGGAUUUGCUUGAAAUCAGCCAGUUCUAUGAUAUAAAAGGUAAUGCUUUUGUACCAAAUUACUCCUGCCUACUGCGGUGCACCUUUUAACGAGGCAGCCGGUGCCACCGGGAUCCCGGACAGUUCUCGCGUGCCGUUCUCCACGUACAAAGCCAACGGCCCCAUCUGCAACUUUGCUAACUUAGUUGGCUUCCGCCCAGCAGGCCCCCGAAGCACAGUCACUGUGAAAACGUUUUGAUAACAGAAAAUCAUUUCCACGACAGUGCAAGUGUUCGAAAGUACAAAGGCAAACACUGUCUACCCGCGACAGUUCGCAAGUUGCGGUGGCGGCGCGGCUGCGCGGAGCGCGCGUGCAGGAUUCUCUCCCCAGCCAUUGUGGUUUCAUGCCUUUGUACAGGCAGUGACAACUAAGGCUGACUGCUGCUGGCUGACAGCGAUUGUGGGCUGUAGUAUGACUUCAGAAAUAUUCAAAUGAGGGUAGAGUAACAUGGAAAGCGGAAAGCAGCUUUUAUUCACUCCAAGGACAACUAACUGACAUACAACGAAGGGCAGAAUAAGUCUCUAGAGGCUCUUCCAAAUUAUUUACUAGCUCGAGUCUGCUCCCUCAAAAGGAGCCUUAGUGCCUAACAAAAGUGGUAAGUUGUAAAAUGUAGGUCCUAAUUUUUACUGAAGUCAAAGGUUAAUAGUAAAAGGGGGGGGUUGAUCCCUCACUGUUUCAAGUUAAUGUUUAUUUUUCACCAUCAUUUAAAGAAUUUUUCAGGCCCUUUUUUCACUGCUGAAAGCAGAGUAAGAGAACUCAGAUUUCAUGCCCCAGGGCUUGAAUGAGGGAAUAAAAACAGCACAACAUUUGCAUCUAUUUAACUGCCUCAGUUCUCAGAGUCCCCUCUCAGUAAGAGGGGGGAAACCGUAUCUCUAGGUUAAAUGAAGCUUCUCUGAGAUAUUUGCCGAAAACACAAUUCAGAGAAAGAUAAUCAUUGUCAGAAAUGACCUAGGAAGUCAAGGCCUUAUGAUUGAAAACACAAAGCUUAGAAAGGUGCAUUCUCUUGCUUCUCUGCCUGCUCGGAUAUCAAUGAACAUCAGCUAAAGGUGGCUGAAGAACCAAUUUCAUGCAUCUACUGUAUGAGGAAAUGAACUGAGCCAAGGGCAAAAAUAAAAUUAUACAAAUGUUAUUAUAGACUAGCCUGCUUCUGUCCUAGUUUAAUUCAAAUUUUAGUGCUGCAGGCUUUGCUUCUGGCAGUAGCCUUCCUGAAUAAAUCAACAUUUGCUUACAUCUAAAUUAUUAGGGAAGCAUGUGACUUUGUUUAUUGUAUAAAUUAUACGCAAGGUUAAAGCAUUAACUGUUCAACUGGCUUUGUUCAGUCGCCUCCCCAACUCUCCCCCAAAUCAUCUCUCCCCUAAAUAGCAAAUAAAAAUCUGAAACUACUAAUUGUUUUCCGACAAACCAAAUAACAAAGCUGCAUUAUGAACCUGAGGUUAUGGAUGGAGAGCACUGUUAGGGGUGUGGCAGCAGACAGUCUUGGUGUUGAGGAAAAAGAAAGGUGCUCCGGCCCAAGAAAUUGUUCACCUGAGCUCUGAUGGGGCUUCUGCACAAAGGGAAAUGGUGAUCUGGUAAAUACUUGGUUAAGUUGAUUAAGGCGGCCAACCAAAUGGGAUAAUUUAAUACAAAAGGAAAGACAGCCUUUUGGCUAGGAUUUCAGUAAGCAAGGAAUUUCAAAUUAUAUUGCAAUGUUGGACCCAAACACUUUUAUUGCCUUUUCUGCUAGGAAGUUAGACACAGGCUGGAAAAUGCGCUUCGGAACAACGAUUUGUUUUUUGUUUGUUUUUCUCUCUGCACGUCACUGUGAAAUGACUCCUGAAAGACCAUCCAUACGUGUUCGGGAAAUAAGCAUGGGCUUUGAUAACUAGGCAAUUUGACUUUCUAAGUGUUUAGACAAGCCGAGUAUCAGGUGUGUCCUCCUAUGAGAACAUCCAAUUUAAAUAAACAUCAAGGGUUCAGAGUAGACAAAUCCGAAGGUAAUUGUUUGCUUUACAAAAGGUUCUUUCUAUAAGGUCAUCCACAAGAUGCUUCUUUUUAUUGACCUUUCCCACGGUAAUAAUUUGCAAAACUGUAAUUAAAUUCAAUCUUUUCCAAAAAUAUAUGUUUCUUUUUUCUUUUCAAGACUCACUGUAGAAACUCUAGCCUGCAGGUCAGAAGAUUUUUGUACAGAAUGAUCUUUUCCAAUCAAUUAUUUAAAUCUAAGGCGUGCUCAAGGGGAGAAUCAGUUUCCCAUUCAACCACUUAGGAUUCUUUGUCUCUGCAUCCUCAACUGGGCUUUGAGACCCUGGACAAUGAUUCUUCUAAUCUGGUCAAUGGACCACCUGCAAGAAUCACUCAGGAGUGGAGCCAGGCGUCUGCUCAGUAAUGUGACUGGGCUGCAUGUGCACUAACAUUUGAGAACUACUUUUGCAGAGUCUAAUAUGGAAGCAAACUGUGUCAUUCUCUCUACUCCCUCCCACGUGCUUUGCGUCAUCUCCUAGUCAUUGUGUCCUGCAGCCCAGCCCAAACGGCUUCCUAAUCCCUGCCCUGCUUUGUGUUGGUCAAGAAGGGGAUCUCUAGAGCACAC